GGUAACGGCGUGGCAGGAGCAGCGGGAAUACGAAGGUGGCAGGGGUUGGUCGGAUGUACUGGGCGUACAGGGAGCGUAGGCGGUUGGGUAAGCCGUCCGUGAAAGCUCCAGGCUGAACCUGGAAAGUGCAGAGGGGACUGCUCGGCUUGAGGAUGGGAGAGGAGCGCGGAAUUCCCGGUGUAGCGGUGAAAUGCGUAGAGAUCGGGAGGAAGGCCGGUGGCGAAGGCGGCGCUCUGGAACAUUUCUGACGCUGAGGCUCGAAAGCGUGGGGAGCAAACAGGAUUAGAUACCCUAGUAGUC
This 300-nucleotide ribosomal RNA is filed under the name uncultured Thermodesulfobacterium sp. RNAcentral's name for it is "bacterial SSU rRNA". It matches the Rfam family "Bacterial small subunit ribosomal RNA", at positions 496 to 795 of the family's 1533-position model. The record is from RNAcentral. Lineage: Bacteria; Pseudomonadati; Thermodesulfobacteriota; Thermodesulfobacteria; Thermodesulfobacteriales; Thermodesulfobacteriaceae.